RNAcentral lists this long non-coding RNA (273 nucleotides) under Musa acuminata (dwarf banana). RNAcentral describes it as "long non-coding RNA (MACU_LNC003983)". Lineage: Eukaryota; Viridiplantae; Streptophyta; Magnoliopsida; Zingiberales; Musaceae. The record is from RNAcentral.
AAGAGGGGAGGUCGAGCGACUGCAGCUAUGACGGUUGUGACCUAAGGGAAGAUAGUGACAGUGGUGUGGUUGGGGGUAGCGGAGGCAGCGAUGGUGGUGCAGUUGUGGCAGCGUCGCCGACGGUAGAAGUGACGAGGGGGUUGGUCCGCUAGUCGGGAAGCAGCGGCCAUGGUCCUUCUCGUUCAAGCAGGGUGGAGCAUCAAGGAGGGAAGGCUGCUGGCCGGGGAGCAGCAGCGACGGUGGUCGCUGGCCGGAAUGCAGCGGCUGUGGUGG